This 464-nucleotide ribosomal RNA is filed under the name Campylobacter jejuni. Its description in RNAcentral is "bacterial LSU rRNA". It matches the Rfam family "Bacterial large subunit ribosomal RNA", at positions 1859 to 2322 of the family's 2925-position model. The record is from RNAcentral. Lineage: Bacteria; Pseudomonadati; Campylobacterota; Epsilonproteobacteria; Campylobacterales; Campylobacteraceae.
CUGCCCGGUGCUCGAAGGUUAAUUGAUGGGGUUAGCAUUAGCGAAGCUCUUGAUCGAAGCCCGAGUAAACGGCGGCCGUAACUAUAACGGUCCUAAGGUAGCGAAAUUCCUUGUCGGUUAAAUACCGACCUGCAUGAAUGGCGUAACGAGAUGGGAGCUGUCUCAAAGAGGGAUCCAGUGAAAUUGUAGUGGAGGUGAAAAUUCCUCCUACCCGCGGCAAGACGGAAAGACCCCGUGGACCUUUACUACAGCUUGACACUGCUACUUGGAUAAGAAUGUGCAGGAUAGGUGGGAGGCUUUGAGUAUAUGACGCCAGUUGUAUAUGAGCCGUUGUUGAGAUACCACUCUUUCUUAUUUGGGUAGCUAACCAGCUUGAGUUAUCCUCAAGUGGGACAAUGUCUGGUGGGUAGUUUGACUGGGGCGGUCGCCUCCCAAAUAAUAACGGAGGCUUACAAAGGUUGGCU